This 229-nucleotide ribosomal RNA is filed under the name uncultured bacterium. Its description in RNAcentral is "partial 16S ribosomal RNA". It matches the Rfam family "Bacterial small subunit ribosomal RNA", at positions 104 to 334 of the family's 1533-position model. The record is from RNAcentral.
CGGGGUGAGUAAUGUCUGGGAAACUGCCUGAUGGAGGGGGGUAACUACUGGAAACGGUAGCUAAUACCGCAUAACGUCGCAAGACCAAAGAGGGGGACCUUCGGGCCUCAUGCCAUCGGAUGUGCCCAGAUGGGAUUAGCUAGUAGGUGGGGUAACGGCUCACCUAGGCGACGAUCCCUAGCUGGUCUGAGAGGAUGACCAGCCACACUGGAACUGAGACACGGUCCAG